UCCAAUGUGGUGUAGUGGUUAACAUUGCUGUCUUUCAUUAAUUAUCACAGCAGCCCGGGGUUCGAUUCCCCGCAUUGGAA
Lentinula aff. detonsa is the source of this 80-nucleotide non-coding RNA. The record is from the annotation of a GenBank genome assembly. NCBI's taxonomy places the organism in Eukaryota, Fungi, Basidiomycota, Agaricomycetes, Agaricales, Omphalotaceae.